Rattus norvegicus (Norway rat) is the source of this 10386-nucleotide non-coding RNA. Lineage: Eukaryota; Metazoa; Chordata; Mammalia; Rodentia; Muridae. The record is from RefSeq and is a predicted model, not a curated record.
ACACUGCUAUAUGGACAUACGGCCAAAUGCUCAGAGCCAUCAGUGUCCCUUUUGUAACUGAGUGUGAUUUGAGUGUUUCAGAAGUCAGAAGGCACAAGGUGGCUGUGGCUAACAGCAGGUCCUCCCCUGGCGCAUGGCUCUGGCUGCCAGUGUUAUUGAUUAGCCCACACUAACACUUCUGGAUGACUGCUAAGUCUCUGCUACAAAGCUAUGGAAAUAGUUUCUCAGCUCUAAUUUUCUUUUAUGGCCCUACCUUUCUUCUCAAGAUGUUUUUCUUCAGGGCCAGGAUGGCUAUUUGUAGUUUGUUUGUAUUUGGGUGAAAAGUCCUCCCUUAGAUUUUCUUUCAGAUACCUCUGGAGCAAAAGUAAAUGAUCGGGGCCUUUGGGUUGACCUCGAUAAGAAGAUAAAAGUAGCAUUCCCAAACCUGUCUGACCGUGGGUAACCAUUAACUGUCAAGCAGGAGAGGAAUUUCCCACGACCUCAGACUAUCACAGAAAUGGAGGCGCUAGGAGGAGUGCUGCCUUGCAGGAAUGACUCCAAACAGCAACAAAUGUUAUCAAGAGGGAGAGAUUGCAGCAACCCAGGCCUGUGUCAGCUGGAGACACAGCUUGUGUCCGAGGUCAACAAGAACAACUGGAGGCCAGGGAGGAGCCAGGAAGCUUUUCUGGCCCAGAAAAUUGAGAAGCAGGGUAUAAAGAUCAUAAGGAGGGCUUCCCUGUUUGUUUCUGUGUUGGUGAGACCCCACCAUGACAUCUCUCAAGUCGAACAGCCACCACUUUAAGAGAAACAUGGAGGCUUCAAAGCAAAACAAGAAUCACAAAGAUGAAGGUGGUGUUUUUGUUUUGUUCUGAAAAAGAUUAGACGAUGGAAUUACAGAAAGGAUGAUAAUAGAGAAAUGGCCAACAGCACACAGAACGUCAACCACAAACCAAGAUGAAUCCGACUUAACCUGCAUCGUGAAGUCCUGCCACCGGCAGACGUCAGGUUUAUUAAUCAUUAAAAUGAGUUGCCUGUGAGGACGUCCAAUUUCCUGUUCUGAAAGUAUAAUUUAUUACUACAGAAAUAUGCUUCCGGGUUUGUGAAUAUUGACAACAAGCAUCGCAGGGUUUUUCUUUUCUUUUUUCAUUUAUUUUUAUUUAUCUAUGUGUGUGAACUCUGGGUGAGUGUGUGCUACAUGUGUGUAUGCCCAGGAAAGUCAGAUUAGUGCCUCAGAUCAUAUGGAACUGGAGUUAGAGGUGCUAAGGGCAGAACACAGGUCCUCUGGGAGAGCGAUAAGCACUCUUAGCUACUGAGUCAUCUUGCUAAGCACUAGGGCAAAGUUUUAAGAUGUUAGAGACUAAGUUAUCCACAGCCGAGAAAAGUGAGGAAUUCAUCUUACUCCAAAAUGCAAAGCAAAGGACUUUGAGGUAAGGCCGAUGACUGGCUAGGCAAGAUUAGAAUGUUACUUUUCCGUGCACAGGGAAAGAGGGAUGUGCUAUGUUUAUAACUGGGAACUCUCCGCUGUGUUUAUAUUCUUGUCUGUGUGCUUACAGUAUCUCUUCAAGGGCAGAAGCAAUCUGGAAAGAAAGAGUAACAAUGUUGAAUCAAAAACAAAGUUGUCUCUUAACUAGCUCAUGGAACAGGCAGGAAGAAGCCCAACAGCUGAGAAAUGAGCCUCCCGAAUUUUCAAACCGAUGCUCACCUAGAGGAGUAAGUUCAUUUAAAGACAUUUGAAAUCGAGGUACGUUUGUUUAAGAUUAAGCAGAUUGGGGGUGGGGGGGGACUAACAAUGGAUUAAGAGGUCUAGAGAGGUGGCUCAGUGGUUAAAUCACUCUCUUAACCACACCCAGAGGACCAAGCCAGCACGCACAUAACCACCUAUCAUCCUCACAACCACCUAUCACUCCAGGAGAUGCAGUGUGCACGCAUGCGAGCACGCGGGAGCCUGCCUCAAAUGAAAAGGAUGAGGAGGUGGAGUAACACCUCAGGGGUUAAGAGUCCGUACUGCUCUUGCAAAGGAUUCUAAGUCGGUUCCCAGCACACAUGUUGGAUGGCUCCCAUUGCUUGCGACUCUCACUCCAGGGAAUCUGACCCCUCUCAUGUACAUAUAUAUUCCCACAUAAACACAUAACUUAAAAUUUUAUCUUUUAAAAAAAGGAGGAGUGUCUCAAUCAUGGUUUCUAUUCCUGCACAAACAUCACAACCAAGAAGCAAGUUGGGGAGGAAAGGGUUUAUUCAGCUUACACUUCCACAUUGCUGUUCAUCACCAAAGGAAGUCAGGACUGGAACUCACGCAGGUCAGGAAGUAGGAGCUGAUGCAGAGGCCAUGGAGGGAUGUUUCUUACUGGCUUGCUUCCCCUGGCUUGCUCAGCUUGCUCUCAUAGAACCCAGAACCACCAGCCUAGGGUCAGCACUACCCACAGUGGGCGGGGCCUUUCCUCUUGAUCACUAACUGAGAAAAUGCCUUAGAGCUGUUCUCAUGGAGGCAUUUCCUCACGGGAGGCUCCUUUCUCUGUGAUAACUCCAGCUUAUGUCAAGUUGACACACAGAACCAGCCAGUACAAGGGGUAAACUGGGAAAGGGGGUAGUAUUUGAAAUGUAAAUAAACAAAACGAUCAAUAAAAAAUGAAAAAUAAAGUAUAAAUAAAUAAAUGAAAAAAAGGAUGAACUGGGUGUGGUGGUAUAGACAGAUAGAAGGAUGGAUGGAUGGAUGGAUGGAUGGAUGGAUAGAGGGAGGGAGAGAGAGAAUAAGAAAGGGAUUAGGACCCACAGCACCAAGUACUACGGCAGACUCAAUUUUAUCAUGCUUCAUUUCAAACUUUAUACUUUUUUUUUUAAUAGUAAAACCAGAAUAUAGCCCUUGGGACUUAAAAAGUUGAAGUUGUGUUAUGCAAGGAAGUUGCAAUUCCACGGGUCCUGAGGGCCAUUUGAGGAAUGGUAAAAUCUGAUUUGCAUAUGACAGGAAUGCUUCCAGGACUGGAUAGUCUGGAUGAUGCCUACAGUCAUAAGGACCAUAGACACAGCUUAACUCAAGGCCAGCUUGUACCCCAGAUGCCAGACAUGGAGUUUAAAGAUUUAAUGUUUUGUCUGGCUAGGUUUCGAGCCUGCUCUCAUUUGACUUUCACUAUUUUCUUUUGGAGUAGGAUUGCUUAUCUUGAACCACUGUGUCUUGGAUGUAUGUAACUUCUUUUUACAUUUCCGGGUGCUCAUAAUUAAUAGUUUGCCUUGAGUAUCAGAGGAGAAUUUGGACUGGUUGUUUGUUUUGUUUUGUUUUGAGCAAUAGUGGAGCAGUUGAAACUUUGGAUAUGCUUAGGGACAGACUUAAUUCUUUUUGCAUGGUAAGACCAACAAGAAACUGUGGGUGCCUGAGGUGGAAUGCAGUGGUUUAGAUCUGGAAUAUUAGUCAUAGCUUCAUGUGUUGAAGACUUACUUUCGUUCUUACCUUGGCAAUAGUGAAAGGUGGUAGCCUCUUCGAAAAACAAGACUUGGUAGGGCUUUAUAACACUGGGGACAUGUUUUUGGAGAGAACUGUAGAUUGUUAGUCUGUUUUGGCUUGUGGCCAACAUGAAGUAAACUCUGCCACAUGCUCCCAUCAUGAGCCGUUGCUUUACCACAGGCCCAAAGAAGUGGGGUGAAGCAAACACAGACUUAAAUGUUGAGGAAGUAUGGACCCAAACAAGUCUUUUCUCUUUGGAACUUAGUUGGCAAUACUAGAAAAAUGAGUAUCACGAAGUGAUGGGUGUGAGGGGUGCAGUACAGAAGACGUGAGGGACAGGUCUUUUACAAUGUUGUAUUAGUUUGCUUUUGUCAACUUGACACAAACUAGAAUCACCUUCAGAAAAGGAAUCUCAACUGAGGACUUGUUUCUAAUGCUUGUGGGCAUGUCUGUGAGACAUUUUCUUGACUAUUAGUUGGUAUGGGAGGACUCAGCCUACUCUGAGCAGUACUACCGGGGGCAGGUAGUCCUAAGGUGCAUUUAAAAAUUUGUGUAAGCCACAAAAAGCAAAUCAGUGAGCAGAGGUUGCUGCCUCCGUCCCUGCUUUGAUUUCUUGCCCAGAUUACCCUAGGUGAGGAACUGUUACCUGGAACUGUUAAGAUGAAAUAAACCCUUUCCUCUCCAAGCUGCUUUGGGUCCAUGUUUAUCACAGCAACAGAAACCAAAUGAAUACAGAGGUAAUUUCAACCCUAGAACAGACAAUGAUGAGCAUCUAGGAGAACCCUACAGCUGCGAGAUGAGCAUUAAAAGGGAACCAAUCGAUGUGUGAGAUUCUUCUCAUGGGUUUAACAUACCUAGGAGACUAUUUAGAUGAGAAGAAAAUAUGGAAAUGAUGCUGUUGAAAGUUAUGGCUGUAUCAGGCUGUCAUCACCAUUGACAAAAACAGUAUAGAAUGAAAAGGAGAAUCAGGGGAACCAUAAUGACAUUAGUCGAAGCUAUUUGAGAUUUGAAGUAGAAAUAUUCAUGUGUCCAUCAAAAAUGUUGUUGUCUCAAGGGCAAAGAUGUACCAGGUAGUACAUAUGUCAGUGAGAGCCUAAACAAUGGAAGUCGAUGGAUGAACCUUUGUGUGAAAUGUUGGUUCUAAACCAGGUUCCAAUAGACGAGGACCCACUGGUAACUAUGGCAUCCAGUGAUUUUUUUUAAAAAAAUCUGAUAUUUAAUUGAUGCUUACACAUUUCACUAUGGGGCAGACUGCCUGAGAAUGGCACCAGUGAUUAGCCUUCUGUGUCUCGGGACACGCCAUAAGCUUACUAGAAUGAAGAGACAUGGCCCACUCCUGAAGAGUCCGAUUCAAUGGACUGCCAGAGUGUUCAGGAAUAGGCAAUUUAGAAAGCAACUACAGCCUGGGUGUGGUGAAUGUGUGACUGAGCCCGGUGCUAAGGAGGCUAGAGUGAGUUCUAAGGCCAGCAGUGUAGACUCCUCCGUAAGGUCUUGGUUCAAAUAGGAGGAGGGGGAGGAGAACAGAAAACAACUUGAUGCUUGUUAUACAUAAUGGAGUCCGUAAAGUUCUUUCUUAAAACUGUGUGUGUGUGUAUGUGUGUGUGUCUGUGUAUUUGUGUGUGGGUGUAUGUAUGUGUGCAUGUGUGUGUAUGUGUGUGUAUGUGUGUGUUGUGUGUGUGUUUGUGUGUGUAUGUGUGUGUAUGUGUGUAUGUGUGUGUAUCUCUGUAUGUGUGUGUGUGCAUGGGUGUGUGUGUCUGUGUGUAUGUGUGCAUGUGUGUAUGUGUGUGUGUUUGUGUGUGUAUGUGUGUAUGUGUGUAUGUGUGUAUGUGUUUGUGUGUGUAUAUGUGUGUAUGUGUGUGUGUGUAUGUGUGCAUGUGUGUAUGUGUGUGUGUCUGUGUAUUUGUGUGUGUGUGUUUGUGUGUGUGUAUGUGUGGUGUUUGUGUGUGUAUGUGUGUAUGUGUGUGUUUAUGUGUGUAUAUGUGUGUGUUUAUGUGUGUAUAUGUGUGUGUAUGUGUGUGUUUAUGUGUGUAUAUGUGUGUGUUUAUGUGUGUAUAUGUGUGUGUAUGUGUGUGUAUGUGUGUGUGUUUGUGUGUGUAUGUAUGUGUGUGUGUUUGUGUGUAUGUGUGUGUGUUUGUGUGUGUAUGUGUGUAUGUAUGUGUGUGUGUUUGUGUGUGUAUGUGUGUGUUUUUGUGUGUGUAUGUGUGUAUGUGUGUAUGUGUGUGUGUGUGUGUGUGUGUGUGUUGCCCACCGAGGUUAGAAUUGGGCAUUGGAUCCCCUGGAGCUGGAGUUUAAAGCAGUUAGAAGCCGAACAGAGCUCAGAUUCUCUAAAGAACAGCAAGUCCUCUUAACCGCUAGGCCAUCUCUCUGGCCGCCAAGUUUUGUGGAGUUCUUUUGGGGAAAGGGGAUAACAUCUGAAAUGUAAAUACCUAAAUAAUCCAAUAUAAAUAAAUAAAUAAAUAAAUAAAUAAAUAAAUAAAUAAAUAAAUCUAAUCAAAAGGAAGGCCCAAACUAGACUUAGAAUUUCACAUUGUGAAUCUUGCUAUCACAGUGGCUAUGUUAAACUUCUCUUAGAAUAUUUUCUUUUAGCUUAAAAUUUCAACCUCCUAAUUAUUUCUCCAGAACAGUUUAUUUGUCCCUAGGCUUAAUAGGGAGACAAGAACGAUGAAAGCUAGAGACAAAACUAUCAGUGGGAAACAGCUGGGCACAAACUUUGACAAUGAUCACUUUUAAAGGUCAGCCAUACAUUUUAGAGAAAAUCCUAAAGUGGCCAUCAGAAAUCCUAUACUGUAUAACAUUAUCGUUGAUAUCGGGUGAGGCCUUGUCCUCUGCGUGCUGUUGAUGGAACGCAGCACCUUGCACUAGGUGAGCAUUCUACCACUGAACUGCACGGCCAGUCCUUCCAAUGGUUUCAUAUCUCUACGCUUCUGGUUUCCCAUUUCUCUCAAGACAGGAUUAGGAUAAGAAAAUCUCUCGAGUUUAGGUAAGAUUAAUGUGUGCCCUCUUCAUUUGUGUUGAGACAAGAGAGUAGUGGUUAGCCAUUUUACCCACACGAAAUGGCAAUUUCUUGUGGCUCAACGUCUCUAAAGUAGGGAUGGCCCAUUAGCAAUACUUGAUCUAUGACCAUUCUUUCGGUGGGCUUCCUUCGUUGUUUUCCUUCUCGCUGUAGUCUCUCCGUGGCCACGAGCAGAUUUUCCUGUGCAUACUUCGAAGCUCUGUGGCUCAAAGGUCGAUUUCUUUUUUCUACCUCUAAGUUUAAAAGUCCCAGAAAGGCGCUGAGCAUAUCCUCACCUCAGACAAGCAUUCUUAGUAGAGUGCCAUUAUUGGCUCGAACUGCCUCACUCUCCUACCGUAGUGACUGAUAGGAUAGAAUUAGAAGUCUGUGUACGUGAGUUCCUGAAUUUGGUUUCUCUAAAACGGCUUGUUAUGCAGGACAUGGUAUUGAAUGCCUUUAAUUCCAGCAUUUGAGGAGGCACAGGCAGACAGAUUUCUGAGGGUUUGAGGCCAGCCUGAUCUACAUAGUGAGACCCUUUCUCAAAAUAAGCAAAUAAAAUCUUUUUAAAAAGCAUUUCAUGCUGGGCAUGACAGUGUAUGUCUGCAUUCCUAGCACUCUGGGGUUGUUCAAGGCUAGUCUGAGAUGUAAAGUAGUAUGGCCCUGUCUCAAACAAAACAAAGAAUUGUGGAGCUGGAAGGACAAACCCAUAGCAAACCAGUUGCUAACUCCACUGUUUAUAUUCUGCUGCAUGUGUGGCAAUUUAAAAUAUAUUCCACUGUAGAGGAUGAGGCAUGGUUUGGUGGAUAGAGUGCUUGUCACGUUCAGGACUUGAAGCUGAAACAUCGGGACCUACAUAGAAACUGAAUUUAUAACAUGAACAUCCGUGAUCCCAGCACACCCCUACAGAGAGAUGGGAGAGAGAAACAGGAGGAGUCUGAGAAGCUCAGUAGCCAGUUAACCUGGCCUAGACAACAGAAAAAUGACACCAUGACUCAAAUAAGGGAGGCUGUGAGGACUGAUGUUUGAGGUUGUCAGGUUACCCUCUGACCUCCUGCCAUAUGGCUGCUGUGGUAUCUAUGCACAAACACACACACACACACACACACACACACAUGCACGCACGCACACACACAUGCAUACACACACAUACACAGGCGCGCACGCGAACACACACACACACACACACACACACGCACACACACACACCCAGGCACACACACAGGCAUACACACGGGCACACACACAACACACAACACACACAACACACAACACACACACUACACACAUACAACACACACACACAGGUGCACACACACAGGCACACACACGCACACGCACACAUAUGUCAAAUACAAACACACAUUCACACUCCAUUAUUGAGAGGAGACACUAUCAUUAGACUGAAUUAAGCCACAAGGAAGAUUUGGAUUCAAACUUUAGAAUCCAAAAUCCACCUAGAAGCCAUUUUCCCUUUCUGAAUCUAUUUUUUUCAUCUGAUAAAUGUAUUAUAAAUACAUCAAAGGGCUAUUAUGGGAUUAUAUGAAACUGUGUGUCUAGAACUACUUUGAAAUCAUACAGAUCCAUGACUUAAGAGAGCUCCCAUUCAGUGAACGGAGUGCCCGCUGUGGGUUGCGAACUCUCCUAGGUGCUAGGGACGCCGACAUGACUACAAUGGGAUAUUUUUGCCCUCAUGUCUUACAGGUCCUUGUUAACAUCCAGUACGUAAAUAGGCUCAGUACAUCUUAGCUUGCUAAGUCUUUAAAAUAGAUCAAGUAGUUGAGAAUUGGGUCAGAGGUUAUAUUAGUUUAAGAAACAUGGGGCUAGACUGUAUCUUGUAGAGAUGAUAGUCAAAAUUUGAGUGUAAAAUGAGCCACGUGAAGAAAGCCUUCCGUUUUGCUAUCACUUCAUGAGAUUGUUUUUUAUUCUGUUCACCUCUUAAACAAAUGGUUUCCUCUUUAGACAGGUAACAAUGACGGCCUGUCUGGCAUCUCUCUUUACAUGAGGUCCCAUGGCUUCCGAGGAGAAUGCGUCACAUUUCUCUAUACACAGUUAAACCGGAAUGUAGCAGUUCUUACCAUCUCCCUCCCCCCUUCCCCUACCACCCCCGAUUUCCUUCAAUUUCAUCUCAUUUUCCAAAAGAACUCAAUUUUUAACAUGUUAGUUUUUGUUUUUAAUCUUUUCUGAGUAUAAUUCUCUUAUAAAACUAUGUCAUCCUCCUCAAAGUUCUGCUUUGAGAAGGAGCUGAUAACGCUGAGACCUAAGAAGUUAUUUUAUGAUUCUUUAACCAUUAAAUCUAAAGGGGCCCCCCUUCGUUUCUGUCAGUCUCUCUGACUUCUGUGAUUUGAAUUUUUUACGAAGCCUCUUAAACCACAUUUUCAACUAGAUCUUACAGGUUUAAAGAUGAUUAAACAAUAAACCAUAAUUGACUUUUUCAGAAAUACCUAUCAAAAGUAUUUGCUUGCCUGUGCAAUGUAUUUACAUGGCAAUUACAUACAUUUGAGGUCCAAACUGAACAUAUUGUAUUAAGUUCCUCCCUACGCCAGAACGAUGUGAAAUUCCCAAACCUGGAGCUACUUAGUGAUAUGAUCCCCACUACUGUGAAGGCACUGGCCAUCGGCCAUUCAGAGAACCGUCCUAACUUCCUAACACACUUCUCUUGAAAUUCACCAACAGGUUUUAAUUGUUCAUUUCUUUCCUCAACAAAUAUUUGUUGAAGGCCUGUUCUAUGCUAGGUGAGAUCCUUGGGUGGGUGCAUAUACAAUUAUUAAGGCAAAUUCUUCACCCUCAAAGUCAUUAUAAAGCAAUACAGAGAAUGGAGAACUAAAGGCAAGUAUAAUACAGGAUAUAUGGUGAAUUUGGAGAAGGAUACUUUUCUCCAUCUGCUUGUUCAUUUGGGAUUGUUUUUGCCUACUCCAUUGAACUGUGAGGUGUAUGUGGUCUUUGUUACUUUGUGGGUUCUUCUUUUUUCCACCCUCUAUCCCUCCCCCCAUUUUCACCCCCUAUCAUUGGAUAGGUGAGAAUGAAGAAUAGAAGAGAGAGAUCUAUGAAUAUAAGUUCUUUCUUCUUAUUUCUUCUUGACCACGACUACUAACAAACUACAACCAACCUCCACGAAUGGUCAACAGCCAUCGAUCCACCUCUCCAGGUUUUAGCAUUUAUAUACCCUCUGAAAAGUUUCCAGAAUUCUAAACAUUACACAAUCACAGAAACAAUCUGCAGCUGGCAAAAAUCAUGCCUCAACUAGAGAACUAGGCAAAUCAUAGUCUGCUGAUUUGGACAGUCCAAAGCGGCCCCAUAUCCCCACACCUAGUAUUAAAAUGAAAGAACAUUCUUAGACUAUUUCUGUGAUUUUUUUAAAGAAACCAAAAUCCCAGAAUUGUCACUAGAAAAGGGGUUAAUAAUAUUGGUUCAGAAAUGGCCAUAUAAUUUUUUUAAAGGAGGUGUUAUUAUUUGUCCCACCAAAAGCUCAAAAUUAAAGGCUUGAUUGCCAAUCUGUGGUACCAUUGGGAGGUGGUGACACUUGAAGAGGUGGGCCCUUAAAGUGGGCAUCCUAGUCUCUGUUCUCUCUCUCUCUCUCUCUCUCUCUCUCUCUCUCUCUCUCUCUCUCACUCCAUGAGGAGAGUGGCCUUACUCUUACCAUAUGUUCUUUGUAUUACAGGUUUCAUCAUAGACUUGUGACCACGAACUACGUCCUUCAAAACUGUGAGCCAAGACAGGAACCUAGCAUAACUGUCUCCUGAGAGGCAGCCGAUGGAAACUGAUGCAGAGACCCACAGCCAAACAUCAAGCUGAACUCUGGAGUCUUGAGGAUAAGUGAGGGAUAGAAUUGAGCCAGCCAGAAUGGUCAAGGACACCACAAGAAGACCUACAGAGUCAACUCACCUUCAUAGGGGGAGUAGCAGGGUGAAGGAUUUGUAAGGGUGGGACUGGGGGGAAAGGGGGGUUGCAAUAGGAAUGUAAAGUGAAUAAAUAAGAAAAA